This 544-nucleotide small RNA is filed under the name Pongo abelii (Sumatran orangutan). Its description in RNAcentral is "retained intron". Lineage: Eukaryota; Metazoa; Chordata; Mammalia; Primates; Hominidae. The record is from RNAcentral.
AACCAGACAUAAGCUUAAAUAGAUUGUCCUGUCUUCAUUCACAGCUCACAAAUACAGUGCACACGGUAGAACGAGGCAUUUUGAAUCAGCUACACGUACAACUAAUGGAGCUCAGAAGCUGUCAAGGAUAUAAGCAGUGCAACCCAAGACCUAAGAAUCUUGAUGUUGAGGACAGUUAUGGGAUGGAUGGGAAGGUUAAUCAGGCCCAUCUCACUGCAGACAUCAACCGGCAAGGCCUAGAGGAGAUGUGAAUGAAACAUGAGUACAGACAAAACUACAGACUUAGUCUGGUGGACUGGACUAAUUACUUGAAGGAUGUAGAUAGAGUAUUUGCACUGCUGAAGAGUCACUAUGAGCAAAAUAAAACAAAUAAGACUCAAACUGCUCAAAGUGACGGCUUCCUGGUUGUCUCUGCUGAGCACGCUGUGUCAGUGGAGAUGGCCUCUGCUGACUUAGAUGAAGACCCAAGGCAUACGGUUGGGAAAACACCUCAUUUGACCUUGCCAGCCGACCUUCGAACCCUGCAUUUGAACCGACCAACAUU